GCAGGCUGCAACUCGCCUGCAUGAAGUUGGAAUUGCUAGUAAUCGCGAAUCAGAAUGUCGCGGUGAAUACGUUCCCGGGCCUUGUACACACCGCCCGUCACACCAUGAGAGUCGAUAACACCCGAAGCCUGUGAGCUAACCUUUUAGGAGGCAGCAGUCGAAGGUGGGGUUGAUGAUUGGGGUGAAGUCGUAACAAGGUAAC
Molecule: ribosomal RNA, 202 nt
Filed under: uncultured bacterium
Lineage: Bacteria
Description: partial 16S ribosomal RNA
Rfam family: Bacterial small subunit ribosomal RNA
Source: RNAcentral